GUAUGGUGGCAUAUGCCUGUAGUCCCAGCUACUCCAGAGGCUGAGGUGGGAUAACCACUUGAGCCUGGGAGGUCACGGCUGCAGUGAACCGUCGAUCAUGCCACUGCACUCCAUCCUGGGUGACAGACCCCAUCUCAAAUAAUAAUAAUAUAAGACAGACUUUGGGAAGGAAAGGAGGAAGAUACAAGUGGAAGCCAAGGACUCUGUUCUCACUUGUAAACUGUUUUUGAUAUUCAGGCUCUUGCUUGAGCCAGUUCAUACUGGCUCUGGGUGGAGCGCCCAUUCAGUCCUCAUUACCUUUCAUUAAUUCCUUUCUUCAUCCCAUCUUUGAUUUUUCUCUAGAUUUAGCUCGAUCACAGCACAUCCAGAGCGCUGGGAUGUGUCCUUCUUCACGGGGGGACCGCUCUGGGCUCUGGACUGGUGCCCAGUGCCAGAGGGGGCAGGAGCCUCGCAAUAUGUGGCUCUUUUCUCCAGCCCUGACAUGAAUGAGACACACCCACUGAGCCAGCUUCAUUCGGGUCCUGGGCUGCUCCAGCUCUGGGGCCUUGGGACCUUGCAGCAAGAAAGCUGUCCUGGCAACAGGGCCCACUUUGUCUAUGGGAUUGCUUGUGACAACGGCUGCAUCUGGGACCUCAAGUUCUGCCCCAGUGGAGCAUGGGAACU
Molecule: long non-coding RNA, 663 nt
Filed under: Homo sapiens (human)
Lineage: Eukaryota; Metazoa; Chordata; Mammalia; Primates; Hominidae
Description: non-protein coding lnc-MPV17-1:2
Source: RNAcentral